CUCUUGCGACAAUUUCACGAAAAAUUCACAUAUCUUUGGCCUCAUUUUCAAAUGCUGCGACGAUUUAUCGUUCGAGGAAAUUUCAAAAGUUUGCAAUAAAAACGUGAAUCAUUAAAUAAAACAUAAAAUGACUGCUAAACAAAGGAAGACAUUUGACAAAUUUUGUUUGCGGGGCGGAGGCCACUUUCGGGUGAUUCGACAAGUGAGGAAAGAUUUAUGAAAAUUUUGAGUUCAUGCGGAUACACAUAAUCUCAGUUUGACUUAUGGGAGUUCGCAGAAGAAAUAGAUAGGUCUCGUUAAUAUUUUAGAGUAAAAAAUGAGUACUUUGUCAAGAAUAAAGGUAUAUAUUUAUUUAACAAUCACGAAAAGAAUUGAAAAAUUGAUUAUAUUUCACAUAAUACAGUUAUUCUUCAUAAUAAAUUAGAAAUUUAUGCUCGAAUAGUCAGUUUGUACAUUUUUUCUCCUUCUAUAAUGCAUAAUUCCUCGUUUAUUUAAUUUUAUUAAAAACAGCAAUUAAUUUUACUAUAUCUUUAUUGCUGA
Molecule: long non-coding RNA, 540 nt
Organism: Diachasmimorpha longicaudata
Lineage: Eukaryota; Metazoa; Arthropoda; Insecta; Hymenoptera; Braconidae
Exons: 2
Source: RefSeq, a predicted model, not a curated record